Oceanospirillum linum is the source of this 73-nucleotide transfer RNA. It matches the Rfam family "tRNA". Rfam says of the family: Transfer RNA (tRNA) molecules are approximately 80 nucleotides in length. The record is from Rfam. NCBI's taxonomy places the organism in Bacteria, Pseudomonadati, Pseudomonadota, Gammaproteobacteria, Oceanospirillales, Oceanospirillaceae.
GGCCGGAUAGCUCAGUUGGUAGAGCAGAGGAUUGAAAAUCCUCGUGUCGGCGGUUCGAUUCCGUCUCCGGCCA